GUUACAAUGAAAAAAUCUAUUCAGUAGCUUCGCUGCAAAACAUCUUUAGCUAGUCCUGUUCUAAUAACUUUUGUACAGCUGAAACGUUAGUUUUACAGGUGAACAUCUAGCAUCCCCAAAACGUUGCACAAAGACACUACAAUAAUGAUUUCUGGCAAUAUGCGGAACUCACCCUCUCUGCCGGACAGGGACAGACAGAGACGGAUUAGAACAAAUAGUAUACUACAAAGGAUCUUUGGGACAGGUUUUCAGGACAACUGCAUGGCAACGGGACGCUUCUGAAGAAACACUGCUCUCUGAUUGGUCCGCUGUGAAGCGUGCGAAAACCCAGCGAAACUCCGCGCGAGAUCCAAAGGACUGGCGCGAGAAAGACAGGAUCAUGGAGCCAACACCGACCAAGACUAUUAUUAUACACCUGCCUGGCACUGCUUAAAAACUAGCCCUCUGAGGUACAACGACACCUACCAGUACCCCCGGUGAGGCCGCAAUAUUUCUCGCUUUCUCUUCGGCCAUCUCUACAGGAUGUGGUUUCUCUACAGUCUGGCUGUAACUCCAGGAACCCUGAGACAGAGACUGAAAGUGAUGACCACUCCAGAAGAGGACCUGUUCAGAGUACCAACCGAAGAAAACACUAAACCCUGAAACAAGUCCUUCCUAAAAAGAACAUGAAUGGUGUGCUUGAACAUGACUAUUUCAGACUUUAAAAAUGGUCUGAAACAUAACAGCAUGUCGACAUUAUACAGUACAGGCCAAAAGUUUGGACACACCUUCUCAUUCAAUGCAUUUCCUU
Perca fluviatilis (European perch) is the source of this 790-nucleotide long non-coding RNA. RefSeq lists it as uncharacterized. The transcript has 4 exons. The record is from RefSeq and is a predicted model, not a curated record. NCBI's taxonomy places the organism in Eukaryota, Metazoa, Chordata, Actinopteri, Perciformes, Percidae.